RNAcentral lists this long non-coding RNA (1314 nucleotides) under Populus trichocarpa (black cottonwood). RNAcentral describes it as "long non-coding RNA (PTRI_LNC004417)". The record is from RNAcentral. Lineage: Eukaryota; Viridiplantae; Streptophyta; Magnoliopsida; Malpighiales; Salicaceae.
GCCACUAAUUCCACCACAGAUACUUCUCCUCUUUGUGGUAAUUUUAACUUCGGUGGCAGAAAUUUUUAUAUCUGUCACAUGUAUACAAAACAAGAAAUUAGAAAGAAACACAGGAAAUAGCAGGUUAACAACCUUCAUUGUUGAGGUUCAAUUGCCAAUAGGGCCUUCCAAUAACUUUGUCAAAGGUGUGCUUGUCAGCCUAUCAUGUAUACCAAUAUUGAAAUGCAUGAUUAAAGCGCAUAAAUUAAUUUAAUGUAAUAAAUGCACUCUGUGUAAGAGUGUGUUUGGCAGUGUGGUUGCGGGUGCUUUUCAAAUAACUUUUUGUGCUAAAAUGCAUGUCAAUGAUGUUUUUUUAUUUUUUAAAAAUUAUUUUUGACAUCAGCACAUCAAAACGAUCCAAAACGUAUAAACCAUAUUAAAUUUUAGUAAAACAAAAAAAAAUUUCAAUUUUUUUGGGAACGCCGCCGCAGCCGCGUUCCCAAACGUUACCUAAUUAGACAAUGUAAAACAUGAGAAACUUGAAUUUCCUUCAACGCAGAGAACGCAAAGGCAAGCCAUGUUGUGUGGUACCAUAUAUAUGAGGUAUUAAUCCCUAUCCUAUGUUCUUUUUAUUUACCUCUCAGAAUUAGCCCUACACUAGUGUAAAUAAACAUGUUGUGAAUAUUGUAAUGGAUGUCAAAGUCCAUGGAACUCUCUCUCUCUUGUAAAAGUAAUUUUAUAUAAAAGAGAGUUGUCUUCCACCAUUUCUACCUUCCUACCAUCCUCCCAUGAUUUUUUUUCUAACAAAUUCCUUUUAGAAUACAUGUGUUUCCCUUCUUAACUCUUUUUUAAGUUGCUCCGAAAGUAGCCUAGCUGUAGACUAAAAAUACUUUAAAACAAUUUUGUCAAUGAUAGCUCAACUAACACUAGCAACCUUUUUUCUUUAAAAGAUCUCGAGUAAAUUGAGCAUUUUUUAAUUAAAAAAAUAUAUAAGAAAUUUAUAGUUAAAUAAUCACCGAUCGAGACUCAAGCAAACAAACAAAACAUCAUGAUUCAUGCAUGUUGAAGGAAAGGAAAGAGAAGGGAAAAUGACCAUGAUGGCUGUAGAACCCUAGUUUGCUUGCGCAAAGGAUAUGAUCACCCUUUCUUUAACUCAUUAACGUCGAUGGCUUGGAAGUUCAGGGACCUUGUCGUAUCAAGCACAGCAUCAAUGAACCUGUCAUCACCCAUCUCUCGAUCCCUCUUAAUCUUUCUCAAACUAAGUGAGAUCGGUACGAGACCUCUGUGCUCGAGAUCAAACACUUCUGGAGACCUCUCCCGCACUGUGAAUGAUAU